RNAcentral lists this ribosomal RNA (461 nucleotides) under uncultured bacterium. Its description in RNAcentral is "partial 16S ribosomal RNA". It matches the Rfam family "Bacterial small subunit ribosomal RNA", at positions 28 to 507 of the family's 1533-position model. The record is from RNAcentral.
GACGAACGCUGGCGGCGUGCUUAACACAUGCAAGUCGAGCGGUAAGGCCUUUCGGGGUACACGAGCGGCGAACGGGUGAGUAACACGUGGGUGAUCUGCCCUGCACUUCGGGAUAAGCCUGGGAAACUGGGUCUAAUACCGGAUAUGACCUCCUAUCGCAUGGUGGGUGGUGGAAAGAUUUAUCGGUGCAGGAUGGGCCCGCGGCCUAUCAGCUUGUUGGUGGGGUAAUGGCCUACCAAGGCGACGACGGGUAGCCGACCUGAGAGGGUGACCGGCCACACUGGGACUGAGACACGGCCCAGACUCCUACGGGAGGCAGCAGUGGGGAAUAUUGCACAAUGGGCGAAAGCCUGAUGCAGCGACGCCGCGUGAGGGAUGACGCCUUCGGGUUGUAAACCUCUUUCAGCAGGGACGAAGCGCAAGUGACGGUACCUGCAGAAGAAGCACCGGCUAACUACGUG